Molecule: ribosomal RNA, 474 nt
Filed under: uncultured bacterium
Lineage: Bacteria
Description: bacterial SSU rRNA
Rfam family: Bacterial small subunit ribosomal RNA
Source: RNAcentral
CAGGCCUAACACAUGCAAGUCGAACGGUGGUAGCAAUACCAUAGUGGCGCACGGGUGCGUAACACGUAACUAACCUACCCACAACUGGGGGAUAGCCCGCCGAAAGGCGGAUUAAUACCGCAUAACCCACUUCUCCGGCAUCGGAGGUUUGGCAAAGAUUUAUUGGUUGUGGAUGGGGUUGCGGGUCAUUAGCUAGUUGGUUGGGUAAUGGCUGACCAAGGCGACGAUGACUAGGGGAGCUGAGAGGCUGGUCCCCCACACGGGCACUGAGAUACGGGCCCGACUCCUACGGGAGGCAGCAGUAGGGAAUAUUGGGCAAUGGGCGAGAGCCUGACCCAGCCAUGCCGCGUGCAGGAAGAAGGCUUUCUGAGUCGUAAACUGCUUUUGACAGGGAAGAAUAAGCUGGACGUGUCCAGUGAAGACGGUACCUGCAGAAUAAGCACCGGCUAACUCUGUGCCAGCAGCCGCGGUAAU